Molecule: ribosomal RNA, 814 nt
Filed under: uncultured Marinobacter sp.
Lineage: Bacteria; Pseudomonadati; Pseudomonadota; Gammaproteobacteria; Pseudomonadales; Marinobacteraceae
Description: bacterial SSU rRNA
Rfam family: Bacterial small subunit ribosomal RNA
Source: RNAcentral
GCAGUCGAGCGGUACAGGGGGUGCUUGCACCCCGCUGACGAGCGGCGGACGGGUGAGUAAUGCUUAGGAAUCUGCCCAGUAGUGGGGGAUAGCCCGGGGAAACCCGGAUUAAUACCGCAUACGUCCUACGGGAGAAAGCAGGGGAUCUUCGGACCUUGCGCUAUUGGAUGAGCCUAAGUCGGAUUAGCUAGUUGGUGGGGUAAAGGCCUGCCAAGGCGACGAUCCGUAGCUGGUCUGAGAGGAUGAUCAGCCACAUCGGGACUGAGACACGGCCCGAACUCCUACGGGAGGCAGCAGUGGGGAAUAUUGGACAAUGGGGGCAACCCUGAUCCAGCCAUGCCGCGUGUGUGAAGAAGGCUUUCGGGUUGUAAAGCACUUUCAGUGAGGAGGAAGGCUCUGAAGUUAAUACCUUCAGGGAUUGACGUUACUCACAGAAGAAGCACCGGCUAACUCCGUGCCAGCAGCCGCGGUAAUACGGAGGGUGCAAGCGUUAAUCGGAAUUACUGGGCGUAAAGCGCGCGUAGGUGGUUAGGUAAGCGAGAUGUGAAAGCCCCGGGCUUAACCUGGGAACGGCAUUUCGAACUGUCUGACUAGAGUGUGGUAGAGGGUAGUGGAAUUUCCUGUGUAGCGGUGAAAUGCGUAGAUAUAGGAAGGAACACCAGUGGCGAAGGCGGCUACCUGGACCAACACUGACACUGAGGUGCGAAAGCGUGUGGAGCAAACAGGAUUAGAUACCCUGGUAGUCCACGCCGUAAACGAUGUCAACUAGCCGUUGGGACUCUUGAAGUCUUAGUGGCGCAGCUAACGCACUAAG